ACCUCUUACAGCUCUGUUAGAAUUUUGUCUGGUAGGUUUUCUGACUUUAAUUGGAAAACCAAG
Small nuclear RNA from Rattus norvegicus (Norway rat), 63 nucleotides. Ensembl annotates it as U7 small nuclear RNA. NCBI's taxonomy places the organism in Eukaryota, Metazoa, Chordata, Mammalia, Rodentia, Muridae. The record is from Ensembl.